UAAAUAGCCAGGUUGACUUUUGUCGGCCGCCGGCUUCUUAGAGGGACUUUUGGCUCAAGCCAAUGGAAGUACGAGGCAAUAACAGGUUAACCUUGAGUUACAACUCAUCACAGGCCUGUAACAGUGAACCUCGUUAAAAAAAAUCACUAGUUGAGUACCUUCAUCUCUCUAGGUGGAAGUCCACC
RNAcentral lists this ribosomal RNA (185 nucleotides) under Chaetothyriales sp. RNAcentral describes it as "partial small subunit ribosomal RNA". The record is from RNAcentral. Lineage: Eukaryota; Fungi; Ascomycota; Eurotiomycetes; Chaetothyriales.